RNAcentral lists this ribosomal RNA (832 nucleotides) under uncultured soil bacterium. Its description in RNAcentral is "bacterial SSU rRNA". It matches the Rfam family "Bacterial small subunit ribosomal RNA", at positions 671 to 1501 of the family's 1533-position model. The record is from RNAcentral.
UGGUGUAGCGGUGAAAUGCGUAGAUAUCAGGAGGAACACCGGUGGUGUAGACGGCUUUCUGGACCAUAACUGACGCUGAGACACGAAAGCGUGGGUAGCAAACAGGAUUAGAUACCCUGGUAGUCCACGCCCUAAACGAUGCAUAUUUGGUGUGGGUCAUUCAGUUGAUCCGUGCCGGAGCUAACGCGUUAAAUAUGCCGCCUGGGGAGUACAGUCGCAAGGCUGAAACUCAAAGGAAUUGACGGGGGCCCGCACAAGCGGUGGAGCAUGUGGUUCAAUUCGACGCAACGCGAAGAACCUUACCUGGGCUCGAACGGCUUCCUAACGCCGGUGGAAACACCGGUAUCCCGCAAGGGAGUGGAGUCGAGGUGCUGCAUGGCUGUCGUCAGCUCGUGUCGUGAGAUGUUGGGUUAAGUCCCGCAACGAGCGCAACCCUUGUCCUGUGUUGCCAUCAUUUAGUUGGGAACUCGCAGGAGACCGCCAGCGAUAAGCUGGAGGAAGGUGGGGAUGACGUCAAGUCCUCAUGGCCUUUAUGUCCAGGGCUACACACGUGCUACAAUGGACGGUACAAUACGUCGCUAACCCGCGAGGGGGAGCCAAUCGCUAAAAACCGUUCUCAGUUCGGAUUGCAGGCUGCAACUCGCCUGCAUGAAGCUGGAAUCGCUAGUAAUGGCAGAUCAGCACGCUGCCGUGAAUACGUUCCCGGGCCUUGUACACACCGCCCGUCACAUCACGAAAGUGGAUUGUACUAGAAGUCUGCGCGCUAACCCGCAAGGGAGGCAGCGGCCCAAGGUAUGAUUCAUGAUUGGGGUGAAGUCGUAACAAGGUAACC